Molecule: unclassified non-coding RNA, 352 nt
Filed under: soil metagenome
Description: partial contains 5.8S ribosomal RNA, internal transcribed spacer 2, and large subunit ribosomal RNA
Rfam family: 5.8S ribosomal RNA (bases 1-120)
Source: RNAcentral
GAUGAAGAACGUAGCGAAAUGCGAUAAGUAAUGUGAAUUGCAGAAUUCAGUGAAUCAUCGAAUCUUUGAACGCACAUUGCGCCCGCCAGUAUUCUGGCGGGCAUGCCUGUUCGAGCGUCAUUACAACCCUCAGGCCCCCGGGCCUGGCGUUGGGGAUCGGCGGAAGCCCCCUGUGGGCACACGCCGUCCCUCAAAUACAGUGGCGGUCCCGCCGCAGCUUCCAUUGCGUAGUAGCUAACACCUCGCAACUGGAGAGCGGCGCGGCCAUGCCGUAAAACACCCAACUUCUGAAUGUUGACAUCGAAUCAGGUAGGAAUACCCGCUGAACUUAAGCAUAUCAAUAAGCGGAGGA